RNAcentral lists this ribosomal RNA (127 nucleotides) under Escherichia sp. KCJ4928. Its description in RNAcentral is "partial 16S ribosomal RNA". It matches the Rfam family "Bacterial small subunit ribosomal RNA", at positions 870 to 996 of the family's 1533-position model. Lineage: Bacteria; Pseudomonadati; Pseudomonadota; Gammaproteobacteria; Enterobacterales; Enterobacteriaceae. The record is from RNAcentral.
CGCCUGGGGAGUACGGCCGCAAGGUUAAAACUCAAAUGAAUUGACGGGGGCCCGCACAAGCGGUGGAGCAUGUGGUUUAAUUCGAUGCAACGCGAAGAACCUUACCUGGUCUUGACAUCCACGGAAG